AUGCUGGAGGUAUCAGAAGUGCGAAUGCUGACGUGAGUAACGACAAAACGGGUGAAAAACCCGUUCGCCGAAAGACCAAGGGUUCCAGUCCAACGUUAAUCGGGGCUGGGGGAGUCGACCCCUAAGGCGAGGCCGAAAGGCGUAGUCGAUGGGAAAAUGGUUAAUAUUCCAUUACUUCUGUGUAAUGCGAUGAGAGGACGGAGAAGGCUAAAUCAGCCUGGCGUUGGUUGUCCAGGUGAAAGGAUGUAGGCAUGUAUCUUAGGCAAAUCCGGGGUACUCUAUGCUGAGAUCUGAUAGCAAGCUGUACUUGUACAGCGAAGUGGUUGAUGCCAUGCUUCCAGGAAAAGUCUCUAAGCUUCAGUUACACAGGAAUCGUACCCGAAACCGACACAGGUGGUCAGGUCGAGUAGACCAAGGCGCUUGAGAGAACUCUGCUGAAGGAACUAGGCAAAAUGGUACCGUAACUUCGGGAGAAGGUACGCUGUUGUUGGUGAUGGAACUCGCUUCCUGAGCUGACGACAGCCGCAGAAACCAGGCCGCUGCAACUGUUUAUUAAAAACAUAGCACUCUGCAAACACGAAAGUGGACGUAUAGGGUGUGAUGCCUGCCCGGUGCUGGAAGGUUAAUUGAUGGGGUUAGCGUAAGCGAAGCUCUUGAUCGAAGCCCCAGUAAACGGCGGCCGUAACUAUAACGGUCCUAAGGUAGCGAAAUUCCUUGUCGGGUAAGUUCCGACCUGCACGAAUGGCAUAAUGAUGGCGGCGCUGUCUCCAGCAGAGGCUCAGUGAAAUCGAAAUCGCUGUGAAGAUGCAGUGUACCCGCGGCUAGACGGAAAGACCCCGUGAACCUUUACUGCAGCUUGACACUGAACUUUGACCUUACUUGUGUAGGAUAGGUGGGAGGCUUUGAAGCUGGAACGCUAGUUCCAGUGGAGCCGUCCUUGAAAUACCACCCUGGUAAUGUUGAGGUUCUAACUCUGUCCCGUGAUCCGGGACGAGGACCGUGUCUGGUGGGUAGUUUGACUGGGGCGGUCUCCUCCUAAAGAGUAACGGAGGAGUACGAAGGUGCGCUCAGCGUGGUCGGAAAUCACGCGUAGAGUAUAAAGGCAAAAGCGCGCUUAACUGCGAGACCCACAAGUCGAGCAGGUACGAAAGUAGGUCUUAGUGAUCCGGUGGUUCUGUAUGGAAGGGCCAUCGCUCAACGGAUAAAAGGUACUCUGGGGAUAACAGGCUGAUACCGCCCAAGAGUUCAUAUCGACGGCGGUGUUUGGCACCUCGAUGUCGGCUCAUCUCAUCCUGGGGCUGAAGCAGGUCCCAAGGGUAUGGCUGUUCGCCAUUUAAAGAGGUACGCGAGCUGGGUUUAGAACGUCGUGAGACAGUUCGGUCCCUAUCUACCGUGGGCGCUGGAAAUUUGAGAGGAUCUGCUCCUAGUACGAGAGGACCAGAGUGGACGAACCUCUGGUGUACCGGUUGUGACGCCAGUCGCAUCGCCGGGUAGCUAUGUUCGGAAGGGAUAACCGCUGAAAGCAUCUAAGCGGGAAGCCUACCUCAAGAUAAGAUUUCCCUAGGACUUUAUGUCCUCUAAAGAGCCGUUCGAGACUAGGACGUUGAUAGGUUGGAUGUGGAAGCAUAGUGAUAUGUGAAGCUGACCAAUACUAAUUGCUCGUGAGGCUUGACUAUACAACACCCAAGCAGUUG
Molecule: ribosomal RNA, 1694 nt
Filed under: Acinetobacter baumannii
Lineage: Bacteria; Pseudomonadati; Pseudomonadota; Gammaproteobacteria; Moraxellales; Moraxellaceae
Description: partial 23S ribosomal RNA
Rfam family: Bacterial large subunit ribosomal RNA
Source: RNAcentral